AAGCACUGCCUUUAAACUGGUGCAUGGCCUCCUCAUGGCCUCACUGGCUACGCUGCAGUGCAAAAAUAAAGAACUUGCUUAUAACUGAUGUUGCUCAGCUGAAAACUGAGUGAUAUUUUUAAAGGCAAGUUACAUUU
This is a small nucleolar RNA of Sceloporus undulatus (fence lizard), 137 nucleotides long. The record is from RefSeq and is a predicted model, not a curated record. NCBI's taxonomy places the organism in Eukaryota, Metazoa, Chordata, Lepidosauria, Squamata, Phrynosomatidae.